GCUGAACGCUGGCGGCGUGGCUAAGACAUGCAAGUCGCACGGUGUAGCAAUACACAGUGGCGAACGGGUGAGUAAUGAAUCGCUAAUGUACCCCGGACUCUGGGAUAGCUAGCCGAAAGGUUAGGUAAUACCAGAUGAUAUAACCUUGCCGCAUGGCAGGGUUCUCAAAGGUCCGCCGGUCUGGGAGCAGGCGAUUUCGUAUCAGCUAGUUGGCGAGGUAACGGCUCACCAAGGCGACGACGCGUAGCCGGACUAAGAGGUCGGACGGCCACAUCGGGACUGAGACACUGCCCGGACUCCUACGGGGGGCUGCAGUAACGAAUCUUCCGCAAUGUACGCAAGUAUGACGGAGCGACGCCGCGUGUGGGACGAAGUUCUUCGGAAUGUAAACCACUGUCAGGGGUUAGAAAGUUCUGAUCAACCCCAGAGGAAGGCACGGCUGACUCUGUGCCAGCAGCCGCGGUAAGACAGAGGUGCCAAGCGUUAGGCGG
RNAcentral lists this ribosomal RNA (491 nucleotides) under uncultured bacterium. RNAcentral describes it as "bacterial SSU rRNA". It matches the Rfam family "Bacterial small subunit ribosomal RNA", at positions 28 to 548 of the family's 1533-position model. The record is from RNAcentral.